AUGGCUAACUUCUCUAAAAAGUUCCAAGGAGAUGUGUUUGGCAGAAUGUGGCCAACUGCUAGGGCAUAUAGGCCACAAGUUUUUAACUACCACAUGAAUAAAAUCCUAGCAGAAGCACCUGAUGUGCAUGAAUAUCUCUCAAGAUACCACAGCUUAAAAUGGAUGAGAUGCAUGUUUGACCCCUCCAUUAAAUGUGAUUACAUCAACAAUAACCUUGCCGAGUCUUUUAAUGGUUGGAUUAAAGAUUACAAAGAUUUGCCACCUGAUGAGCUAGCUGACACUCUUAGAGAGCUAGUCAUGAAACUUCAUGAGAAAAGGAUAAAGAUUGGAAUGAAACUGAAAGGAAAAAUUAUUCCAGCCAUCAUCCAACAAAUUCAUAAUAGGACAAGGGGACUUAAACAUUUGAAAGUUGGGAAAUCUGGAGUUGCAAGUUAUGAGGUGAGGGACACAAGUAAAUACAACUUGCGACAUGUUGUGAAAACUGACCAAAGCGAGUGCACGUGCUUGGAGUGGCAGCACACAGGGAAGCCUUGUGAGCAUGCACUUGCUUUCUUGCUAGAUAGAAGGAACCCCAGAUGGGAGGAUUAUGUGCAUGACUAUUUCUCUCUGGAGAAGUUUCGGGCAACAUAUGCUGGAGAGAUUGAGCCAUUGACAGAUAGGUCUCAAUGGCCACAUGUACAAUUUCCAUUUGACAUGGAGGCUCCAUUAGACAAGAAAAGAGGGGUUGGAAGGCCUAGAAAGAACAGGUACAAGAGCUUCCUCGAAGGUGGAGAUGGUGGUCCUAAAAAGAAGAAAGAGCCAAAACAGCUAGGCAGCAAGAAUAGAUGCAAAAGAUGCCACAUUUUAGGCCAUAGGCAGUCCACAUGUCCGUUGAAUGGACCAAAGCCAAGGAAAAGAAAGAAGAGAGCAACAAGGUAUCCAGCUGAUGAUGAUGCCUCGGCACCAGAACCUGAAGUGGCAGCCCCACGACUUGAAGUUGUUGUGACUACCAAUAGGGACAUGAUCACUAUGCCACUUAGUCUUCAAGGCAGUCCCAAUCCAGUGACAAGAAGGAUGUUGGCUACGGCGUUGGCUGAUGAGGCAACACAUGCAGCACCACAACUUGAAGUUGUUGUGACUCCUAAUAGGCACAUGAUCACUAUGCCACCGAAUCUUCAAGGCAGUCCCAAUCCCGUGACUAGAAGGAUGUUGGCUAUGGCAUUGGCUGAUGAGGCAUGGCAGCAACCUACCCCAACUGUGAAGGACACCACGAUGGCAUAUGACAUGGCCUCAACCUCGAAAGCUAGGAAGUUGACCCCGAAGAGAAGGAAGAUCUAG
RNAcentral lists this ribosomal RNA (1317 nucleotides) under Triticum aestivum (bread wheat). RNAcentral's name for it is "partial small subunit ribosomal RNA". Lineage: Eukaryota; Viridiplantae; Streptophyta; Magnoliopsida; Poales; Poaceae. The record is from RNAcentral.